Molecule: ribosomal RNA, 270 nt
Filed under: uncultured prokaryote
Description: partial 16S ribosomal RNA
Rfam family: Bacterial small subunit ribosomal RNA
Source: RNAcentral
UACGUAGGGGACGAGCGUUGUCCGGAAUUACUGGGGCGUAAAGGGCGCGCAGGCGGUAUAUCAAGUCAGCUGUCAAAGACUGGGGCUCAACCCUGGUAUGCGGUUGAAACUGAUAUGCUGGAGUGCUGUAGAGGCAAGUGGAAUUCCCAGUGUAGCGGUGAAAUGCGUAGAUAUUGGGAAGAACACCGGUGGCGAAGGCGACUUGCUGGGCAGCAACCGACGCUGAGGCGCGAAAGCCAGGGGAGCAAACGGGGAUUAGAUACCCGGGUA